UACGGAGGGUGCAAGCGUUAAUCGGAAUUACUGGGCGUAAAGCGCACGCAGGCGGUCUGUCAAGUCGGGUGUGAAAUCCCCGGGCUCAACCCGGGAACUGCAUUCGAAACUGGGAGACUAGAGUCCUGUAGAGGGGGGUAGAGUUCCAGGUGUAGCGGUGAAAUGCGUAGAGAUCUGGAGGAAUACCGGUGGCGAAGGCGGCCCCCUGGACAAGGACUGACGCUCAGGUGCGAAAGCGUGGGAAGCAAACAGG
RNAcentral lists this ribosomal RNA (253 nucleotides) under uncultured bacterium. RNAcentral describes it as "partial 16S ribosomal RNA". It matches the Rfam family "Bacterial small subunit ribosomal RNA", at positions 524 to 776 of the family's 1533-position model. The record is from RNAcentral.